This 164-nucleotide ribosomal RNA is filed under the name uncultured bacterium. RNAcentral's name for it is "partial 16S rRNA". It matches the Rfam family "Bacterial small subunit ribosomal RNA", at positions 355 to 511 of the family's 1533-position model. The record is from RNAcentral.
UAGGGAAUCUUCCACAAUGGACGCAAGUCUGAUGGAGCAACGCCGCGUGAGUGAAGAAGGUCUUCGGAUCGUAAAACUCUGUUGUUAGAGAAGAACACGAGUGAGAGUAACUGUUCAUUCGAUGACGGUAUCUAACCAGCAAGGGACGGCUAACUACGUGCCCG